CCAAUGUGGCACACUGGUAGUGUGACUGCCUGUGACGCAGAAGGUUCUGGGUUCGAUCCCCGGUGGGA
Molecule: non-coding RNA, 68 nt
Organism: Phthorimaea operculella (potato tuberworm)
Lineage: Eukaryota; Metazoa; Arthropoda; Insecta; Lepidoptera; Gelechiidae
Source: the annotation of a GenBank genome assembly